CCUACGGGUGGCUGCAGUGAGGAAUAUUGGUCAAUGGACGCAAGUCUGAACCAGCCAUGCCGCGUGCAGGAAGACGGCUCUAUGAGUUGUAAACUGCUUUUGUACGAGGGUAAACGCAGAUACGCGUAUCUGUCUGAAAGUACCGUACGAAUAAGGAUCGGCUAACUCCGUGCCAGCAGCCGCGGUAAUACGGAGGAUUCAAGCGUUAUCCGGAUUUAUUGGGUUUAAAGGGUGCGUAGGCGGUCGGAUAAGUUAGCGGUGAAAUCCCGAGGCUCAACUUCGGGAUUGCCUCUGAUACUGUUAGGCUAGAGAGUAGUUGAGGUAGGCGGAAUGUAUGGUGUAGCGGUGAAAUGCUUAGAGAUCAUACAGAACACCGAUUGCGAAGGCAGCUUGCCAAGCUACUACUGACGCUGAGGCACGAAAGCGUGGGGAGCAAACAGGAUUAGAUACCCCUGUAGUC
Molecule: ribosomal RNA, 460 nt
Filed under: uncultured bacterium
Lineage: Bacteria
Description: partial 16S ribosomal RNA
Rfam family: Bacterial small subunit ribosomal RNA
Source: RNAcentral